Molecule: ribosomal RNA, 192 nt
Filed under: uncultured bacterium
Lineage: Bacteria
Description: partial 16S ribosomal RNA
Rfam family: Bacterial small subunit ribosomal RNA
Source: RNAcentral
CUCGCCUACAUGAAGCUGGAGUUGCUAGUAAUCGCGAAUCAGCAUGUCGCGGUGAAUACGUUCCCGGGCCUUGUACACACCGCCCGUCACACCAUGAGAGUUGGCAAUACCCAACGUACGUGAUCUAACCCGCAAGGGAGGAAGCGUCCUAAGGUAGGGUCAGCGAUUGGGGUGAAGUCGUAACAAGGUAGC